Molecule: RNase MRP RNA, 254 nt
Filed under: Sinocyclocheilus rhinocerous
Lineage: Eukaryota; Metazoa; Chordata; Actinopteri; Cypriniformes; Cyprinidae
Description: RNase MRP (ENSSRHG00000031127.1)
Rfam family: RNase MRP
About the family: RNase MRP is an enzymatically active ribonucleoprotein with two distinct roles in eukaryotes.
Source: Rfam by way of RNAcentral
GCGCAUGUCUGAAAACUUGUAACCUAAGCUACGAACAGGGAGCCUCGUUUCACAAUCAUUGCUUAGGGGAAAGUCCCCGGACAUUGGACAGAGAUGUUCUGCAUACAGCGCAGAGCGACUUCGGUAGUGUGUUAUAAUGCUAAGACGUUUUUGUGACAGAGCACAACGCUUGCAAUCCACAUUUGUCAAUAUCACAGAUAUUCAAGUGAAGCACACACGUGCUGCUACAGAACGGGGCUCAUUCUCAGCAUUCG